UACGUAGGGGGCAAGCGUUGUCCGGAAUUAUUGGGCGUAAAGAGCUCGUAGGUGGCUUGUCGCGUCUGCCGUGAAAUCCUGUGGCUUAACUGCGGGUCUGCGGUGGAUACGGGCUGGCUUGAGGUAAGUAGGGGCAAGCGGAAUUCCUGGUGUAGCGGUGAAAUGCGCAGAUAUCAGGAGGAACACCGGUGGCGAAGGCGGCUUGCUGGGCCUUACCUGACGCUGAGGAGCGAAAGCGUGGGGAGCGAACAGG
Molecule: ribosomal RNA, 253 nt
Filed under: uncultured bacterium
Lineage: Bacteria
Description: partial 16S ribosomal RNA
Rfam family: Bacterial small subunit ribosomal RNA
Source: RNAcentral